GAUGAACGCUGGCGGCGUGCCUAAUACAUGCAAGUCGAGCGAACAGACGAGGAGCUUGCUCCUUCGACGUUAGCGGCGGACGGGUGAGUAACACGUAGGUAACCUACCUAUAAGACUGGGAUAACUUCGGGAAACCGGAGCUAAUACCGGAUAAUAUUUCGAACCGCAUGGUUCGAUAGUGAAAGAUGGCUUUGCUAUCACUUAUAGAUGGACCUGCGCCGUAUUAGCUAGUUGGUAAGGUAACGGCUUACCAAGGCAACGAUACGUAGCCGACCUGAGAGGGUGAUCGGCCACACUGGAACUGAGACACGGUCCAGACUCCUACGGGAGGCAGCAGUAGGGAAUCUUCCGCAAUGGGCGAAAGCCUGACGGAGCAACGCCGCGUGAGUGAUGAAGGUCUUCGGAUCGUAAAACUCUGUUAUUAGGGAAGACCAAACGUGUAAGUAACUGUGCACGUCUUGACGGUACCUAAUCAGAAAGCCACGGCUAACUACGUG
Molecule: ribosomal RNA, 497 nt
Filed under: uncultured bacterium
Lineage: Bacteria
Description: partial 16S ribosomal RNA
Rfam family: Bacterial small subunit ribosomal RNA
Source: RNAcentral